GAUGAACGCUAGCUACAGGCUUAACACAUGCAAGUCGAGGGGCAGCAUGGUCUUAGCUUGCUAAGACUGAUGGCGACCGGCGCACGGGUGAGUAACACGUAUCCAACCUGCCCUUUACUCGGGGAUAGCCUUUCGAAAGAAAGAUUAAUACCCGAUAGCAUAAUGAUUCCGCAUGGUUUCAUUAUUAAAGGAUUCCGGUAAAGGAUGGGGAUGCGUUCCAUUAGGUUGUUGGUGAGGUAACGGCUCACCAAGCCUUCGAUGGAUAGGGGUUCUGAGAGGAAGGUCCCCCACAUUGGAACUGAGACACGGUCCAAACUCCUACGGGAGGCAGCAGUGAGGAAUAUUGGUCAAUGGGCGCUAGCCUGAACCAGCCAAGUAGCGUGAAGGAUGAAGGCUCUAUGGGUCGUAAACUUCUUUUAUAUAAGAAUAAAGUGCAGUAUGUAUACUGUUUUGUAUGUAUUAUAUGAAUAAGGAUCGGCUAACUCCGUGCCAGCAGCCGCGGUAAUACGGAGGAUCCGAGCGUUAUCCGGAUUUAUUGGGUUUAAAGGGAGCGUAGGUGGACUGGUAAGUCAGUUGUGAAAGUUUGCGGCUCAACCGUAAAAUUGCAGUUGAUACUGUCAGUCUUGAGUACAGUAGAGGUGGGCGGAAUUCGUGGUGUAGCGGUGAAAUGCUUAGAUAUCACGAAGAACUCCGAUUGCGAAGGCAGCUCACUGGACUGCAACUGACACUGAUGCUCGAAAGUGUGGGUAUCAAACAGG
RNAcentral lists this ribosomal RNA (758 nucleotides) under uncultured bacterium. RNAcentral's name for it is "bacterial SSU rRNA". It matches the Rfam family "Bacterial small subunit ribosomal RNA", at positions 28 to 776 of the family's 1533-position model. The record is from RNAcentral.